Molecule: transfer RNA, 93 nt
Filed under: Bacilli bacterium
Lineage: Bacteria; Bacillati; Bacillota; Bacilli
Description: tRNA-Ser
Rfam family: tRNA
About the family: Transfer RNA (tRNA) molecules are approximately 80 nucleotides in length. Their secondary structure includes four short double-helical elements and three loops (D, anti-codon, and T loops).
Source: RNAcentral
GGAGCAGUACUCAAGAGGCUGAAGAGGCGUCCCUGCUAAGGAUGUAGGCUGGGGUAACUUGGCGCGAGGGUUCAAAUCCCUCCUGCUCCGCCA